UGAUAUCAAUGUUGACGAGGGUCCUUACU
RNAcentral lists this non-coding RNA (29 nucleotides) under Rattus norvegicus (Norway rat). Lineage: Eukaryota; Metazoa; Chordata; Mammalia; Rodentia; Muridae. The record is from RNAcentral.